AUUGAACGCUGGCGGCAGGCCUAACACAUGCAAGUCGAACGAGUGGCGGACGGGUGCGUAAUGUAUGGGGAACUGCCUGAUGGAGGGGGAUCACUACUGGAAACGGUAGCUAAUACCGCAUACCAUCGGAUGUGCCACUAUGGGAUUAGCUAGUAGGUGGGGGAAAGGCGCACCUAGGCGACUAUACCUAGCUGGUCUGAGAGGAUGACCAGCCAACCGGGAACGGAGCCACGGUCCAGACUCCUACGGGAGGCAGCAGUGGGUAAUAGUGCACAAUGGGCGCAAGCCUGAUGCAGCCAUGCCGCGUGUAUGAAGAAGGCCUUCGGGUUGUAAAGUACUUUCAGCCGGGAGGCGUUACCCGCAGAAGAAGCACCGGCUAACUCCGUGCCAGCCGCCGCGGUAAUAC
RNAcentral lists this ribosomal RNA (406 nucleotides) under uncultured bacterium. RNAcentral describes it as "partial 16S ribosomal RNA". It matches the Rfam family "Bacterial small subunit ribosomal RNA", at positions 30 to 526 of the family's 1533-position model. The record is from RNAcentral.